CCCCUUGUUUAGCGUAUCAUCAAGAAAUAACUAUAAAUAAGGGCAACCGGCAGCCCAAGGGGCUGCUCAGUCUGGAGUAGCCAUUUUUUUAUUCCUCCUAAUAAACUUGCUUUCACUUUACAGACUCGCCCUGAAUUCUUUCUUGUGUGAAAUCCAAGAGCCCUCUCUUGGGGUUGGAUCGGGACCCUGUUCCUGUAACAAGUCCACAAUGCCAGAGAAUUAAAGAGAACCACAAAGCUGAACCUCAAAAAGUUAGCCUGGCGAGGGGAGGAUGAUGAGAUUUCCCCUGUUGUCACAUAAACAAGGAAGUAAAGGGGGCCCCUUGUGCUCUCAGAACUCCAAGCAUGAAACGAUUUUCUGCCAUUUCAGUUCCUGUUAUCGUGCUUUGAGGUGCACUGAACUGCAGCAAACCCAGGGGAUCCAAGGCUACGUUGAAAAGCCUUUGACCACAGUGCAGGGAGCAGAAGACAUUAAUGACGUGAUGUCGACACAGCCCGCACUCAGGAUCCUCCAGGAAAAGAACACAGAGAUAACCCCGGAUCGAUGGUACUUUUUGAAAAUGCUUUAUUGCAAAAGAGUGGCUAGGGUUUUACAAGGGCUAUGAAGAAACAUAUUAAGGUUAAUAAAGCUUUUUAUUG
RNAcentral lists this long non-coding RNA (638 nucleotides) under Homo sapiens (human). RNAcentral's name for it is "non-protein coding lnc-SLC44A3-1:14". The record is from RNAcentral. Lineage: Eukaryota; Metazoa; Chordata; Mammalia; Primates; Hominidae.